GCUGGUUCUUCCAGGAGCGCGCAUGAGCGGACGCUGCCUACUGGUGGCCGGGCGGGAUGUAACCGGCUGCUGAGCUGGCAGUUCUGUGUCGCUAGGCUUCUGCCCGGCCGCCGCCGCACAUAAGCCACGAGGAGGAGCUUUACGACUUCCCGGUCUUCGGCGCCGGGCGCAGCAAGGGCCAGACUCUGCGCUAGCAGGCGCUGCGCGCCAACCGGCCGGCACCUGUCGCAGAAGGUGCAACCGAUCGCACUGUCGCGCAGAAGCUCCUCAAUGGCCAGCGCCAGCUGCAGCCCCGGCCGCCCACUCGCCUCAUCUGAGCCUGGGCAAAUCUGGAUUGGGAAAGUUGACAUUAAUCAACUCAUUAUUCCUCACAGAUUUGUAUUCUCCAGAGUAUCCAGGUCCUUCUCAGAGAAUUAAAAAGCCUGUACAGGUCUAGAUAUUGGUAUUUUUAAUUGAUGAUAAGCUGGAAUAAUAUUAAUACACACAAAGCACGUGUUGUAACUUUCAUUAUGCUUCCUUAGAGCUCUGUUCACGGAAAGGGCCUGGGAGCUGCAACACCUCAACAGCAACAAGCACACCUGCUACCUAGAACUUGGUUUCUAAAAACCAUCCUCCUCUAAAAGGAAACAGAGCUCUUUGAAGAAACGCAGAAGGUAAGCAUGAGCAAAUUACUUUUUAGAGGUAACUUUGCUGAACUUGUGAAGAAUGGUGUGCAAGGUCCAGAGCGACUGCAGGAGAGGGAAGGUGGGAUUCCCACAGAGCAGGAGCACAGAUAAGCCAAGCAAGGCCCUGCUUGGAAGGCAGCAAUCAACAGAGAUGCACAGACCUGUGAGGGUGCCGGGACAGCCAUGCAACAAUGCAGCCCUUUUGCUUCCUGAGCUCACCAGUUCCCUCGCUCCACCUCUGAGAGGUGGUUUGGAGAAACACAGCCCUUCUCAAGAGGGCUGCAAGCUACUUAAGUCCUGAAAAUUUCCACAAGGCUGAGUCAAAUCUGCGUUUCAUCAUCUAUAAGAAAGGUACCUAUCGAGAACACCCUGCUGGCCAGUGUGUAAAUAUCUAAAGGAGGACUCAGAAAACACCGGGGAAGUCCAGCCUGCACGUGGUGGCUGGGCUUCAGUGAAGCAUGCAGCACAACAGGAGUUAGCAGCCAUGCACUGCCCAGGCUGGAAGUAUGCUCAACCACAAGGGUCAGGGCUGGGAGAGGCGCUUCGGUAGC
RNAcentral lists this long non-coding RNA (1216 nucleotides) under Homo sapiens (human). Its description in RNAcentral is "HSALNT0289632". The record is from RNAcentral. Lineage: Eukaryota; Metazoa; Chordata; Mammalia; Primates; Hominidae.